AUGAGUAUGAAUAACGAAAAAGGGUUUCCCCGCUUUGUAUUACAAAGCAACCAACCGAGACAACCGACGAUAGGGGCUGGGGCGGAAGCAGCACAAACACGCCAAAAAGAAAGGAAAGAGAAAAAAGAAAAGAAACAAAUGCCGAUAACGGCGGAUCGACAAAAGCGACGAAGCCUCGUGACCGCUGCGUCCACCGAAGAUCACCCACCAAGCUCCGAGACUCCGAAGUGCCGGUACCCAACAACACCUCCAAGAAGGGACGCGACGAUGACGACGCUGCUGCCAAGGGUUUCCCCCGGUACACGGCGAGGAGAGAGGAAGGGUAGCCCCGAUGCCCUCCAGGAAGGUCCGGCGGCACCCUCAGGCGCCACCGCGUCGGUGUUGGCCAAGCCAACAAAGAUUUCUCCCGAUCCCAGCCUCUACCUCAGGCACUCCGGAGCUCGCCACCAGACUGACCACCACCCUACGCCAACACGAACAUGA
RNAcentral lists this ribosomal RNA (483 nucleotides) under Triticum aestivum (bread wheat). RNAcentral's name for it is "partial small subunit ribosomal RNA". The record is from RNAcentral. Lineage: Eukaryota; Viridiplantae; Streptophyta; Magnoliopsida; Poales; Poaceae.